GACGAACGCUGGCGGCGUGCUUAACACAUGCAAGUCGAACGGAAAGGCCCUGCUUGCAGGGUACUCGAGUGGCGAACGGGUGAGUAACACGUGGGUGAUCUGCCCUGCACUUCGGGAUAAGCCUGGGAAACUGGGUCUAAUACCGGAAAGGAGCCAUUGUGAGUGUGAUGGUUGGAAAGUUUUUUCGGCGUAGGAUGAGCUCGCGGCCUAUCAGCUUGUUGGUGGGGUAAUGGCCUACCAAGGCGGCGACGGGUAGCCGGCCUGAGAGGGUGGACGGCCACCUUGGGACUGAGAUACGGCCCAGACUCCUACGGGAGGCAGCAGUGGGGAAUAUUGCACAAUGGGCGCCAGCCUGAUGCAGCGACGCCGCGUAUGGGAUGACGGCCUUCGUGUUGAAAACUCCUUUCGCUAGGGACGAAGCUUUUUGUGACGGUACCUAGAUAAGAAGCACCGGCUAACUACGUG
RNAcentral lists this ribosomal RNA (465 nucleotides) under uncultured bacterium. RNAcentral's name for it is "partial 16S ribosomal RNA". It matches the Rfam family "Bacterial small subunit ribosomal RNA", at positions 28 to 507 of the family's 1533-position model. The record is from RNAcentral.